GACGAACGCUGGCGGCGUGCUUUACACAUGCAAGUCGAACGGAAAGGCCCUUCUUUUGUGUGGUGCUCGAGUGGCGAACGGGUGAUUAACACGUGAGUAACCUGCCCUUGACUUUGGGAUAACUUCAGGUAACUGGGUCUAAUACCGGAUAUGCGCUCCUGCUGCAUGGUGGGGGUUGGAAAGUUUCGGCGGUUGGGGAUGGACUCGCGGCUUAUCAGCUUGUUGGUGGGGUAGUGGCUUACCAAGGCUUUGACGGGUAGCCGGCCUGAGAGGGUGACCGGCGACAAUGGGACUGAGAGACGGCCCAGACUCCUACGGGAGGCAGCAGUGGGGAAUAUUGCACAAUGGGCGGAAGCCUGAGGCAGCAACGCCGCGUGCGGGAUGAGGGCCUUCGGGUUGUAAACCGCUUUCGCCUGUGACGAAGCGUGAGUGACGGUAAUGGGUAAAGAAGCACCGGCUAACUACGUG
This 468-nucleotide ribosomal RNA is filed under the name uncultured bacterium. RNAcentral describes it as "partial 16S ribosomal RNA". It matches the Rfam family "Bacterial small subunit ribosomal RNA", at positions 28 to 507 of the family's 1533-position model. The record is from RNAcentral.